UUGACCCAAAAAAAUGACUUAAUUAAACAAGAAUGCAAUAUUUAGGAAAGAUCUCUUGGCAGUAGAACAUGGAAGAGAAUACGAGGAAGAACCAGAUCCAUUUCCAUUUGCUGGAGACAGAUAUAUGAAAGUAUAUAUUCAGAUUGGCUGUCCAUUAUAUUUGAUUUCUGCGUCGCUCUCGGCUCGCAUUCUCGGCUGAGUCGGAUCACAAUCGUCUUCUACCUCGAGAUUUGUAUCUUUAUUUGUUUCAGCUUCGUCUUCAUAUUUCUGCAUGUCUCAAUCUCCCUUUCUCUUUAAUCGCAGAUUUCUUGUUGUUGGUUUGCAGAUCGAUCCCCUCUCCGAUUUCUUUCAAGGCAUCUUCUCUCAAGACAAUGAAGGGCGUGUUUGGCGUGUUUUUCUGAAUGAGGAUUUUUGGUGUAGAUUGCUGCUGACAUGCAUCUUCCCAUGCUGCUUUUGUGUGACGGUUACUAGGAGACUAGAAUAAGAAUGGACAAAGAGAUUUGAUAUCUUAUAUAAUGUCUCAUUCUCAGUGUUUAUUCCUGAGUAAGAACAAAAUGCUGUUUUUUGCACUUGCUACUUUGCUAGUGUCAGCAUCUUCCCAUGCUGCUUUUGUGUGACGGUUACUAGGAGACUAGAAUAAGAAUGGACAAAGAGAUUUGAUAUCUUAUAAUGUCUCAUUCUCAGUGUUUAUUCCUGAGUAAGAACAAAAUGCUGGUUUUUUGCACUUGCUAGUGUGUUAGCUCUUAGAAGUGCAAUAAUUGACAACUAGCCUCUUAACACACGCUCACUUUCUUCCUUUUCUUUUAUUUUUAUAUUUUUGUUAAAUUGCAAUUAAAAAGAGAAAGAAAAAAAAAAUCUGCAGCGGCAGACUUACUGUUAAAA
Long non-coding RNA from Rosa chinensis, 882 nucleotides. RefSeq lists it as uncharacterized. The record is from RefSeq and is a predicted model, not a curated record. Lineage: Eukaryota; Viridiplantae; Streptophyta; Magnoliopsida; Rosales; Rosaceae. The transcript has 2 exons.